GAGCCGCCUGGGAGCAGGGAGGGUUCUGCUACCCUGAGGGGCCCUCCCCGCGGGGCAGAGGGGUUUCCUCAGCAGUGCCCCGGAGCAGGGACCGCGCCAGCCAGCAGAAACAGCUAGUUGUUGUCUGCAGUGAAGAAUAAUUGGAAGCAUGGUGCCUGUUUCUUUUCCUGUGGGAGGAAGUCACAGCAUCUACUUCUGAAUCUGUGCUUGCCUUGAGGAAAAACGGCAUGGCACAGGAAUGUGGACGCUUUCAACCAGAGGAUUCUGUACGACGGUGUCGGCACACAAGGAGUGUUCCACUGACUGACCUCUUUUUGUUUUCAAAUGAAGAGGAGCCAAGAAUAGGACAGCUUGGGAAGGUGAGCUGCGUAUAGCUCGUCAGGCUGAGCUCAUCCUCGUCUACGGCCAAACGUUGGUUUCUCAUUUCUAGAAGAUGAAAGAUGUGAUGACUCAGGAAAAAAGGCUUCACCCAUUCUUUGUUUUGUGCAGCUGGAAUCUUAGUAACUGUGGUGGGCAUUGAGCCUUGCCGUCCACAAGAGAAAGCUUGCUGCUCGAGAUGUGAGUCUUCAGAUGUUCCUGCCGCCAUAUCUGACAGCUGCUGCCAAGAUUCCCUGGUGGGAUGGACUCUUAUACCUCAACAACCAGAAGCCCAAGUAAACUCUUCUAUAAAUUGAAUGACUCAUGCUUAAAAAAAAAAACAAAAAACAAACUAUCUUUA
This 718-nucleotide long non-coding RNA is filed under the name Mus musculus (house mouse). RNAcentral's name for it is "RIKEN cDNA 2210408F21 gene". The record is from RNAcentral. Lineage: Eukaryota; Metazoa; Chordata; Mammalia; Rodentia; Muridae.